This 68-nucleotide transfer RNA is filed under the name Leiopelma hamiltoni. Its description in RNAcentral is "tRNA-Trp". It matches the Rfam family "tRNA". From Rfam's summary of the family: Transfer RNA (tRNA) molecules are approximately 80 nucleotides in length. Their secondary structure includes four short double-helical elements and three loops (D, anti-codon, and T loops). The record is from RNAcentral. Lineage: Eukaryota; Metazoa; Chordata; Amphibia; Anura; Leiopelmatidae.
AGGAACUUAGGAUAAUAGACCAAAAGCCUUCAAAGCUUUAAGUAGAAGUUAAAAUCUUCUAGCUCCUG